UACGGGGGGGGCAAGCGUUGUUCGGAAUUACUGGGCGUAAAGAGCGUGUAGGCGGCCAAGCAGGUCCGCUGUGAAAACUCGAGGCUCAACCUCGAGACGUCGGUGGAAACCGUUUGGCUAGAGUCCGGAAGAGGAGAGUGGAAUUCCCGGUGUAGCGGUGAAAUGCGCAGAUAUCGGGAAGAACACCCGUGGCGAAGGCGGCUCUCUGGGCCGACACUGACACUGAGAGACGAAAGCUAGGGGAGCGAAUGGG
Molecule: ribosomal RNA, 253 nt
Filed under: uncultured bacterium
Lineage: Bacteria
Description: partial 16S ribosomal RNA
Rfam family: Bacterial small subunit ribosomal RNA
Source: RNAcentral